CUUGAUGGUUAUUUUGCCUUCAUCUUUCAGACAGCAAAAUGCCACUGCUAAGGAAGCUUGAGCUGGCCCUCUGACAUACAAUCUGAAUUCAAGAUAUUCACAGCCUGUUACUCAGAGGAGUGGAUGUGAAAACGUCAGCCAGGUCUGCCUGGAAGAGCUUACAAAUCUAAGCAACUUGGCGUGGGAACAUCCCCCCUGGACAGACAGGGGAGGCAGGCUCUGGGCUGCACUGAGGCUGCCUCUCUGCUACAAAGCAAGGCGUUCCUUUGAGUAAGGACACAGCCAAGAUGUAUGCAAGCACCAGGACUCGGGGUGCACCGUGAGACCUCCUAAGUGACUUGCCCAUGGGCAGACAGAUAAGUGGUGGCAAGCAGGAAUCAAGCCAACCUUCGUCCACGUCAAUACCACCUUUUUGGGGGAGUGUAGUUUCAGAGGAAAAAGAGGUACUGUACUGAGAAUGACUUCUCUGUGCUGACAUCAGUGAAGUAUUCAUCAUUUUGUACUGUUUGUUGAGCAUAGGCUGGUACAGGGCAAAUCUCCAAACACGCAUGCACAUACAUACUUUUUUGUGUGCUUAACCUUCCAGAUCUCCAUUCUUUUCCAGACAUUUAUAUAGAAUUGACCCAGGCUGAAGUUUCAUUUAGAAGAUAGUGCAUCCCUGUGACAAAUCUUUCAUCAGCAAAAUGGAGCAUGUUCUAAGUCAACAGAAGCAAAUGCAUUGGUAUUCUUCACCCUCUUAUUGCCUCAUAUGCCACAGUGUACAUGUGGAUUAGGUUGCCCUUGUACUUCCCAGAGAGUUCCCCAUAUCAAGGCACUGUCUGUUGUUCCACUAAAGCUGAUUUCUAGCUGCUGAGCCAGCACAAAAGGCAAGCCACAACCCAUUAUUAGUCUUUAAUAUGUAUAUUAAAAAAGACUAAAUAAUCUUCUAUUACCUGAAUGAAAUUACUUCAAAUGUGGGCUCCAUUCUUGGUCUCCCCUCCUUCCCCAACUGUUGUGUGCAAAAAUGUCUGAACAUACAAAUAUAUAAUCUCCUCCAUGUCAAGCCAUUGUAUAGUUCCCAAAUCUCAUCUUACCUGUAUCAGUACAAAUCAGAUUUCAGUGACA
RNAcentral lists this long non-coding RNA (1104 nucleotides) under Apteryx owenii (little spotted kiwi). RNAcentral describes it as "lncRNA (ENSAOWG00000018482.1)". Lineage: Eukaryota; Metazoa; Chordata; Aves; Apterygiformes; Apterygidae. The record is from RNAcentral.